CAACAGCUAGAGUUUGAUCCUGGCUCAGGACGAACGCUGGCGGCGUGCCUAACACAUGCAAGUCGAACGGAGAUUAAGAUUUCGGUUUUAAUCUGAGUGGCGAACGGGUGAGUAACGCGUGAGCAACCUGCCCUUCGANAGGGGGAUAACCGCUGGAAACAGCAGCUAAUACCGCAUAAGACCACAGCCCGGCAUCGGGAGGGGUCAAAGGAGCAAUCCGCUGAAGGAGGGGCUCGCGUCCCAUUAGAUAGUUGGCGGGAUAACAGCCCACCAAGUCGACGAUGGGUAGCCGAGCUGAGAGGCUGAUCGGCCACACUGGAACUGAGACACGGUCCAGACUCCUACGGGAGGCAGCAGUGGGGAAUAUUGGGCAAUGGGCGCAAGCCUGACCCAGCAACGCCGCGUGAGGGAAGAAGGCUUUCGGGUUGUAAACCUCUGUCCUUGGUGACGAAGAAGUGACGGUAGCCAAGGAGGAAGCCCCGGCUAACUACGUGCC
RNAcentral lists this ribosomal RNA (496 nucleotides) under uncultured organism. RNAcentral describes it as "SSU rRNA". It matches the Rfam family "Bacterial small subunit ribosomal RNA", at positions 1 to 509 of the family's 1533-position model. The record is from RNAcentral.